AUUUUUGGAGAAUAUGAAAUCACAUCUCAUGAUAUGGAAUCAUGAGAUGGAAUCUGCGUAAAAUCGCAUGUCCAAACGCUGAUUCCAUCUCACGAUACGCCUACUUAGUAUGGAAAUGGUGAAAUGCUUGUUAUGUUGUCGCCUGAUUGAGGAAUUGCAAUAUUUUUUGAUGGACCAUGUUGGAAUUUUUUUUGUGGGAUUUUAGUUUUCUCUGAUGUAGUGAUUUAGGAAUUAGGUUUUUUUUAUUGGUUUAUUGAGGAGGUAGAAAUGGUUGAUGAUGUAAAAAUGUAUAUCUUUUCUUGACAUGGUUUUUACUUUCUUUGCUAUUGACAAUGUUUUGCUGAUAAUCUGUUUUGAAAUUUUACCCUUUUAGAUAGAGGUUAAUUUAGUGUUGGAGUAGUGAAAUGGAUUAUGUUUUGUUGAUUGAUAGAGAAAUUUGAAGCAUCUUAUGGUGCAAAGUGGGGUUUUUGUAGUGGAAACUUACUUUUCUUUGCUAUAAAGAUUUUGGAAUUAGGAUUUUCGUUGAUUGGCCAAGGAGGCAGAAAUGGUUGGUGAAAAUAAAGGAAAGAGCGAUGGUGCUAAUGUUGCACCGGGUUUGUUGGCUGAAAAUGGUCGAACUGUAAAGAAAUUGAAGGGCCACCUAGUUGAAGACAAGGAUGGUGAUACAAACCUUGAUGGUUCAUCAGAUGUUGUUAGUCGGACCUACAAGAGGCGGAAGCGUACGGAAGUGGUAGAAGAUGGCCUUGUGGUGGGGCACUCUGCUGGUCAAAGUACUAACAGGUCUGAUAAUCCUUACAUGAACUCUUGAAAUGUCUUUUUUCAUCUUCUGUUUGUUACCUUUUCUUAUGCAUAAUGUCUUAGUCUCUUCUGUAUCCUUCAUGGAAUAACCAGGUUUGAAUCUGAUGAUGUAAUUUGAUUGUUAUGCCCCAGCUAGUACUGUAUAAUAUGUUUAUCUUGUUUCGUUAUCAAUAAAAAAUUCCUACUCUUGUUCUCUCUCUUUGCAAUCAUCUCUAUAUGAGGUAGUAGUUCUUUUUUCUUGGCUCUUCUCUAAACUUAGGUUGUCUACCGAGAUACGUGGAAGGCAAAUACUAAUUUAGAAAACCUAUCUUUUUUCUCUUCUCAAUAAAGAAUUCGCUCUACUCUAUAUGAGGGGUGCCUAUGUGAAGCUUCUUGAGAAGGGAAAUGGAGGUGGUGGCUCUUGCGUAACCCCCUUAACCAAAAAAAAGUUUUUAAAAUAUAUAAUAAGGUAGAGAUAAAGCAUUGUUAUCCAGUGGCGGAUGACUUAUUUUGCAAACAUAAUAAUAAUAAUAUUUUGAAACUACAUUGAUGUAUAUUUUUCCUUGUUGCUCUAUGCUAAUAGUUCAGUAUCAUGGUUAUGGUUGGCGUCUUGACAUAAAGUACCCCUCUCUUCCUUGCCUGUUGGUAAACACCCCAACCCCAAUUUUGUUUUCUAUCUCUCUGAGAUCAAUGACAUAUAACAAUGAUGAAUGGAUUUACCAGAUAACAGAAGUAUAGACCAUUUGUACCAAGAUAUUAGAGAUGUUGUUCAGAGUUCAGAAACAUAAUUCAGAAAAUACAAUUUUAUUCAUCAUUUAUAUUUUGAAAAUAGACAGAAUAGAAUGUGGUUUUAUCUUUCAAGGUUGAUUCUUCUGCCAUCAAAUGUUCAAGUAAUUUUUCUUCUCUGCUUCUGGUCCCCGAACCAAUAUCAAUUAGCACCAAAAUUCUACCAAGUUCCCAGAUGGAGAUCCAUUAUGACGGCCAUCAUAUGAUUAACUCUCAAGUGAAAAAUUAAGCUCUAGUUCUGCUAUCUGUAAUGUGCUGCGAGGAAGAAAACCGUAAUUGUCUCUGUUCUCUUUACACAAGAAACACCUCCUUACAAUUUGUCUCCAUAAAUUACUUAAUACUUAAAGAAUUUCAAGCUACUACAGCACAAGUGAAGUCACCUUCCGUGACUUUUUAUGAUUUCCAAUGGGAGAAAGGAUUCUACUCAAUCACGUAAAAGCCAGUUUUACAUAAGAUCUAACAAUUUGUGAUUCUGUGCCCCUGCAUCUUCUUACAUCUUUUCUCCCCAACUCUUUUUUUUUUUGACAAAAUUAAUCUUGAACUCAUUUUCAUAUCAAAUAAUUUGGACGCUGCCCAGGAAGACCCUUAGUUGCUUUGAUUAAAAUAACCAGGGGAGGAUGCAACAUUACGUUAAUGGGUUCAUCUGAAUCCAAUACUUUCAAAGUGGAACCCAAAUUUAUGGGUAAAAAUUCGCUGAAAUUGCAACAAAUAGUAGAUUUGAACUCAUAAGUUACAUAUAUAAUGAGUUCAAUACUAAGAACCUUAAAAGUUGAACCCAUAAAGUGUAAUUCUUAGAUUCGCCUCUGAUUAAAAAACUUGUCUUCUUUUCACUUCAUUUAGAUGAUGCCACCUUUGACUCUUGGGAUUUGUGAUUUUUUUUUGAUAAGGUAAGGCUUAAUAAAUAUGUACCAAGAUGGUACUAAAAAGAUACAAAUGACCUUCAAGGGAUGGUCAAUUGGCCAUGCAGCAGUUACAUCCUGCUUCCUAGAAAGUCAAGGAAGUCCAUAUAUUAACUAGGAUCAUCCGGCAUACAACUUUUACUUAAGAAUACAAGUUAUGGAGGCAUUUCUCCUUGAUUCUAGAGACGUGUAUUUUCUGGCCCUCAAAAUAUGCCCUGAUCAUUCUUUUUUGCACGUCUCAUGUGCGUCUUUGGCAUGUUAUUCUUGUGAUUCUUUAGUUUUGCUUCCUUUGUGUUUUCAUUUUUGUCCUUCUAUAUUAAGGUUUAAUUUCUGUUCAUGUUUUCUGCAAUUUCGGCACGUAAAAGAUGUUAUUUAUAAAUAUUAUAUGAUAAAAUUUCAAAAUGUAGUUUGAGUUAUGCUGUCUGUCUAAUAGAAAUUUUUAUGCUACCGACUUUUAUUUCAAAGAAAUGUUGUAAAUUUUUCUAGAAAUUUCUAUUAGACAGACAUUUCUUCUUUCAAAUAAAAGUAUGUACCAUAAAAAUUUCUAUUAUACAGACAGCAUAACUCACACUACAUUUUGAAAUUUUAUCAUAUAAUAUUCAUAAAGAACAUAAUGUGCAGAAUUUAGGAAAGAUGAAAGAAUAUCCGACACAAGAAAAAAUUUGAUAUGUACAGCAACAAUGAUUUUGAUAGAGAAAUCAAUAUAUUGUGAUUAAGUGGAUUUAUGAAGUAAAAACCAUGUUAAUCAAGGUGGAAAAACAUAUCAAAUUUUGGUUCAGAUGCAAAUAUACAAUUUCAAGCUUUCUUACUCCCAAGUUUCUAAUUUCCUAUUAUGAAGUAUUCACCUAGUUUAUUUUCUUUAACGAUUAUGUUAUAUAUUUACUGUUUAGUACUCCUUCCUUAUAAGGAGAGCUCAUGAGCCUAGUGACUUAUCCCGAUUCUUUUUUUUUUGAAACUGGUAACAUUACUCUAUAUCCACAGGUAUACUACAACCAAAAGUGUAGUUCCCCUUCAGAAGUAUUACAAUCUAUUAAAAGCUCAAGGCUAAUACUUGUUUUUUUUGAGACAAGGGUAACUAGCUCAAGGCUAAUACUUGCUGCCUAUAAACAAUCUAGAACAUCAAAGAUGUCUUCAGUUUGAGCUAAUAAACUAUGUUUACACCAAAAGUAAAAUAGAGCUGAACACUUCAUUUUGACAUCCUGUAUUGUGUUACCUAUAAACAAUCUAGAACAUCAAAGAUGUCUUCAGUUUGAGCUAAUAAACUAUGUUUACACCAAAAGUAAAAUAGAGCUGAACACUUCAUUUUGACAUCCUGUAGAUUAUUUUGCACAUUUUCGAAGGUCCUGUUGUUUCUCUCUUUCCAGAUUGACCACCAAAUGCAAAGUUUUCAAAAGUCUUUCACAAACGUUUUAACUUUGUUUAAAGACUUAAGUUUCAAGUUAAGCAAAGUGUAAAGAGUUGAGUUCAUUUCUUCAAAAGAAGUAUAUCGGGACUAUGUAUUCCCAAAGAGUAAAAUGCUUUCACAUUUAAACAAGAAAGGAAACCUUGAUUUCCAAAGAGCCUUUGAGCUAGUUUUUAGAAAAGAGUAAUCGCUUUCUAAAUGAAGCAAGAGCGGAAACUAUGAUUUCCAAGAUAGCCUUUGAGCUAAGUUUUUGAGCAAUUAUCUCAAAUCAUAGAAAGAAGUAUGUUUUUAAACAUAAGAGCUAAUAUCACAUUUUUGGGAGUAGUAUUGAGCACCGAUAUGGGGGAGAGUUCAGACAACUCACAGCCUCCAUAAACCAUGUAGCCAUCAUGGGUAGAAAAAGGUCAUACUUUUUAGAUGAUUCCUUUAGUGCUUUUAGCAUAGACUAGUGGAUCCACUUAGUAGUUCAGGUUCUAUACCCUCGGCAAGGUAUAGGACGGCCCUGGCANNNNNNNNNNNNNNNNNNNNNNNNNNNNNNNNNNNNNNNNNNNNNNNNNNNNNNNNNNNNNNNNNNNNNNNNNNNNNNNNNNNNNNNNNNNNNNNNNNNNNNNNNNNNNNNNNNNNNNNNNNNNNNNNNNNNNNNNNNNNNNNNNNNNNNNNNNNUAUCUUUGCAUACACACAGAGUUGACAUCAUAUUUUUAAACAACUUUUCUUUAUAUUGCACUUGUUUUAAACUGCUUUAUAUUGAAAUGAGUUCAGUUAUGUUGAGUUGAGUUGAGCCAGGUAAGUUCUUCAGAUUCCUUUCAAGCCUAUGUUGUGUUUAGCAUUCCAACUCGCAUUCUCGUACAUUCAAUGUACUAAUGCCAGUUGUCCUGCAUCUUAUUAUGAUGCAGACACAGGUAACUAGGAUCGGCAUCCAGCGCAUCGUUGAUCUAGUGAGCACUCCAGAGUCGGUUGGUGAGCCUUCUUGCAUUCCGGAGGACUCUUUUUUAUUGCUUUCAGUUAUUUUAUUAGUUCAUUAGGAUGUCGUGGGGUUUGUCCUGACAUCCAUCUCAGUUGUUUUAGAGGCUUCAUAGACAGUCAUAUGUUAGUUCUUUAGUCUUUUCAUUGUCAUUAUCUUAUGUUAAGACUUGAGUUUGCGUUAAUGGCCAAGUUGAAUGUUCCAUUAUAACAUUCCAGUUUAUUACAUAGACUUGUCUUUGUUGAAUUAAGUCUUCCGCUGAGUAAGUAGUCUAGGCCUAAGGGUUCGCUUGGGGCGAGCAAUGGUUCUCGAGUGUCAGUCCCUCCCAAAGUGUAGGCUCGGGGCGUGACAAUAUGUGCCUCUCCUCUUCAUGUGCUCGCAUCAUUUGAGCUUCGCUUUCCUCAUCUUGUCCACCACGGGGCCCACUCCACCUUGUCUCGAACAUCUUCAUUUCUAAUCCUAUCAACAUCCUCAUUUCCACAACUUCCAUCUCCUGAACAUGGGAGUUUUUGAUAGGCCAACACUCUGUCCCAUAUAACAUAGUUGAUCUAACCACCACUUUGUAGAACUUAUCUUUAAGUUUUAGUGGCACUUAUCACAGAGGACUCUAGAAGUGAGCCUCCAAUUCAUCCACCCUGCAUUCUAAGCUUCUUUACAAACACCAUCAUGAACAGAAUCAAUCAGCUCAACACCCUUGAUAUAAUGACCCUGUGUUGCCAACACCCGACUGACAAAAAAUAAAGUUAUUACUUAUUAGGCCUAAAAAUUUGAGCGUAAGGCUCAUAUCUAACACUGUUCAAAGUAUCAAGCUCUAAAUCCAUAAGAAGAGUUUCAGUUGCAAGUCUAAAUGAACUAAUCUAUGUUAUCAGAUGUAGUUUGCAAAGAAGUUCCUCGCUAGAAAAUGAUUGAUUGGUUUGUUUUGAAAAAGAAAAAAACUGAUAUAGUAGAAGAAGGAUAAGAUAAUUAAACGGUUUAAAUCCCUUUUGAGUGGCCUAGUGAUUUGGGCUUAGGACUUCUACGUUGGAGGUCUCAAGUUCGUCGCACCGGGCUUGCCUAGGGCAGGUUACCUCUCCGAUGUGGUUUGCGAGCUAUUGCAUAGGAGUGGAGGUUUUACCCUGUGCGCACCCAAAAGGGUAGCGGUUGCGGGUUUCCCUUGUCAUCAAAAAAGAUAAUUAAACGGUUUAAAUAUGGCAAUAGUUAUGUACGGUUUCCAGUUUUUAAAACUUGAAAUGGUAGUUUUUUCUUGUGAAUUUUCUGUUUUAAAAUAAUUUGUCUAUUGAAAAUUCCCGUGCUUACACGUGACAGCUAGCACUUUUUAAAAAUACAGAUUUGAUUUUAUUUUUUUUGGUGGUGCUAACACGUGAAACUUUUUACCUCUCCUAUUAUAUAUAUAUAGAUAGAUUAUUAAACAUAAAUAUAAAUCAACAAAUUGUACAAUUAAUGGAGCUACAUAUGUCAAUUAAGAUUUUAGAUGUUAGUGAAUGAAAUUUUUGGUGCGACUUAUAUAGGACUAUGCUUAAUUUUAGGUAAUACUGUUUAAUGGAUUUAUAGUUUCUGUGUACUGAUAUAUCUUGAGCUAUGACGUUUGCAAGUCUUUACGGAUUUGGUAAGACACUACAAAAAAUGCUAUGCUACUUCCUUUUUUAUCUUUGUUACUGAAUGUACAUAGACACAUUAUCCUAUUGUAUACAUAGCACAAUCAUAGAUAAAAGUUAUUUAAGGAUUUUCUGAUUUUGUUUCCUAGAUUAUUUUGUUUCCUAGAUUUACAGAUUUACUUCUGAUUUUGUUUCCUAGAUUUACUUCUGAUUUUGUUUCCUAGAUUUACUUCUGAUUUUGUUUCCUUAAAUAGACUUGCUUGUACACAUAUAAAUAACUCUCAUUCUUGGAAUGAUGUGUAGGAAGAUUUUUCCAUUGUCUCUAUAUUUUACAUGGUAUCAAAGCCACGAGGGCUCAAAAUCAUUGAUUAGAAAUUCCACACCUUCCUGAUAGCCUGAGAGGAGGAGUUCUCGGCUAUUUGAUUUGUCUUUCACUCGCCAGUCCAUUGGUCUGGCAGAACUGAUUUUGGCUUACUGCUCUGGCAUCGUCUUGGCAUUCGUAAUCUUCUGGCACUAAAACUCUGCUUGGAAGGUGUGUUCUUCACUUCCUGUUUUUGACUUUAGCUCUUUAAAAAAUCUUCUUUGAUCUCUUUUCCAACCACCAUUAAUUUUGAGCAUUGGGUUUUGGUAUUUGUUGGGUUUGGGUAUCUGUGGAUCUCAGAUUCAAAUUCUAUUUGAACCUUUCUGGUGGUACAGUCUAGAUUCAAGAAUUCUGUUUUCAUACUGUUUGUUUCUAGGACUUGUGUGAAGUUUUAAGUUUUUUUUAGGCCUGUUCAAGUCUAUUUUCAGUCUGGGUUUAGGUCUCACCAUUGUCCAAAUAUCUUCUUGGCCUGUGAGGGGCAUCUUUGUUGGCAGAUAACUUAUUCAUAGAUCUUGUUAAUUUGGUUCCAGCCCUUGUUACCUGUAGUCAUCUAUAAUCUAUUUUUCAAUCCUUUUGGACUAAACAUUAGUUAAAAUAUGUCUGGUUCUAGUUCAUCAUUUGAGAAAAUUAUUCGGGUUUCAGGCGAUGAGUUUGCUAAAUUCUUUCAAUAUCAUAAAUCAGAGAAGGAAUCUGCUUCAAUUAACUUCUUUGUGAGUCAAAUAAAGCAUGUCUUAUCACCUCUUCAAAUAAAUGGGUAAUUGAUUCAGGUACCACAAAUCACAUGGCGGGUAAUCCUAACAUUUUUUCUAGCUUUCAAUCACACAAAGCUCCCUCUCCGGUUACUGUAGGUGAUGGAUCAACUUGUAAUAGUCUUGGAGCAGGGACUGUUAAACCAACCUCAUAUAUUACCCCGUUAUCUAUUAGGUCUACCAAAAUUGGCCUUACAAGAAACCUUAAGUGUUAUAUCUCUUUCUUUCCCGGUCAUUGUCUGUUUCGUGAUCUUACGACGAAUCAGGUUAUUGAUAAAGGACAUGUAUCCGAUGAUCUCUACAUCCUUGAUGAAUGUGAAUCUCGAUCUAUUGCCUGCUCUAGUGUUGUGUCUCCAUUUGAAGCACAUUGUCGAUUGAGUCAUCCUUCUUUACCUAUGUUGAAGAACCUUUGUCCUCUGUUUCAAAAUAUUUCUUCAUUGGAUUGUAAGUCAUGUCAAUUUGCAAAACACCAUCGCAUCUCAUUAGGUUAAAGGGUUAAUAAACCAAUUAAGUCAGCUUUUGAGUUAGUUCAUGGGGACCAUGUUCCGUUGUUUACAAAACCGGGCAUAAUCAUAAAUAGAAUAUAUUUAGGGAUUUUCUGAUUUUGUUUCCGUAGAUAGAUUUGCUUCUGAUUUUGUUUCCUUAGAUAAAUUUGCUUUUGAUUCCAUUUUCUUAGACUUGCUUGUACACAUGUAAAUAACUCUCAUUCUUUGAAUGAUACGUGUAGGAAGAUUGUUCCAUUGUCUAUGAUUCUACCUUUAUCUGAAGCAGCACAUUGAUGAUGAAGCAUUUUUUAAUAGUUGUAAUAUAAGUACACAAUAGAUGGUUUGAACGACUAACGUGGGACUUGAAUUUGCAUGGAUUGUCCUAUUUUUGUGUGCCGGAGAUAGUUCUAAUUCAUGUAUCUUCAUCCUGAAUUAUUUGCAGAUGUGGACAAAGCUUAAUGAAGUUGGUAGCAAAAUGAUUUCUCUUUCAAGGAGUCUUUCAGAAAUAUCAAGGGGUUGUUUCCGAGCUCAGGUAUGUGGUUUCUUGCUAACACUUGGUUCAUUGAGCGGCUUCCGUCUUUUGCACACAAUGCUGGUAAAAUUGACUAUGAUUUUAACCUGUUACCUCUUUAGGUGAGUGGUUCAGUGCAUGUAAACGCUAAAGAUGCAAAAGUGGAGGCAAGUCUUCUUUUCCGUCAUGCUUUUGUGUUUCUGUUUUAGUGGUAGACUAUUGGUCAUUUUGGUUGUUCUCUAGUUAGCUUCUUGGAGGAGAAACAGCUUUUGAAAAUUGUCGGCCCGGAAAUUUCAAAUCCUUCACUGGCAACUGGCAAGUGCAUGUCACCAACCAAGUACUUGCAGUUAUUCCAGAUUUCUUGGGGAACCACUCAGGCAAAUAAUGUUACCAAGCUCCUAGAAGGUUCAAAUCCCAGCAGCACCAAAAUUACAUUAGGUGAUUUCUUUUCAUGCGUUUAAGCGUUGGUGCUGAGUGUACCUGUGCUAGUUUAAGGUAGUACCUAAUGGAAUAGUCGAGGUGUGUGCAAUUGACUUGAACACCACCAUUUUAAAGAAAAAGCUGGUCGUGUACUUAUUUUGCUUUUGGUUUCAAACCUUGAGGUCCACAUCAUUGGAAUUAUCUCUUAGUUUUAAUAUGAAAGUAUAAAGUAAAAAAAUUCUUGCUUUUGGCUCUACUCAGUGCUGCAACUUGAUAUCUACUCUAUGAAACCCACAAAGUAAAAAAUCUGAGGGAUUGCCUUGGCAUUGUAUUUUAUUUCUUUCUACAACUUGAAACUGCAGAUAUAUUUUUAAGUAUUAGAAUUCAAGUUUACUAUGUUUUCUUUUCUUUUUGAUGUUGACAGUUAGUUUCUAAAAUGGAACAAGCAGAGACCUAUGGUGUAGAUAAAAGAUGUGCUUGCCAAUGUUGUGGGGAGAAAGAGAAAGCGGAUGGUGGGGAUAGUUUAGCUUGUGAUUCAUGCGAGGAGAUUUAUCAUCUCUCUUGUGUUGAGCCUACUGUUAAAGAAUUUCCUGUAAGAAGUUGGCAUUGUGCCAAAGGAAUGGAAUCCCCCUCUAGCUCAGUGAUAAUUGAAAAUGAAGUUGAAGACCUUACAUCUGAAGAUAUGGUUCUAGAAUUGGAGGAUAACACGAAUGGUUUAGUGGAUGGUGAACUUAAACUCUGUGAAGGAGUUGAGGGCGAAUCAAUCCAAAUUAACUUUGGUGUAUAUUUGGAAUCAAAAUUUAGAGUUGAAAAACUAAGAGUGAAUAUAAAUAUCUUUGGGUCCCACAUUUUCCUAUUUUACAUGUAUAGUAAAGAACUCAUCGAUAGAUACUUAUAGUUGACACGUUUUUUUAUUUAGACAUUUUAGUUAAGAUUUAUAUUAUUUAAACACCUAAAAUGAGGCUGAAUUAUAUCAUUUCGACACGUUUUCCUGACUUGGUAAUUUUUUUUGUAAUUUUCGCCUCAAAUUAGCACAUAAAAAAACUAAGUGAAAAGUCGAACCAUCUUUAAGUGGCUAUUGAUAAAUUUUGUCUAUACAAUGUAAUAUACAUGUGUGGAGGACCGUUUUUCAACUCUAAAUUUUGAUUCCAAACUACCUUAAUUUUUCUACGUAACUUUGUGCAAGAGUUUCUAACCAAAUCUAAAUUACUUUAUCAUUAAUUUUUGGACUUCUUGGCACUUUUUGAAUACAUUUUCAAUAUUGUAGUUUAUGAAAAGUUCUUCUUUGACUAAAGAACUACUGCUUCAAAUACAUUUUUUUUAUUGCGGGAGAUAAUGAUUCGUAUAAUUCGACAUACUCAUUAUCCUAUAAUUAGAUGAAAUCUCCUUAAAUCGUGGGUUAACUUGAACUAAUGGACAUAAUAUGUCAUGGGUAUAUGAAGUUACCUUAGCCAAAUAUGGUAAAAUAGAAUUUUGAUUUUGUUCUUUAACAAGCCUCGUAAAUAUAUUAACAUUUUGCAUGUUUUGAUUGUUUACCUUCUUCAUGAGUGACCCAAUCUUUUUAGUGGUUAAAUUGGAUUUUGAUGAAUUUUCAAUUUGAAGUUGGAAUGGUUGACACCAAAGCUACAUCUGAGGAAGAUGAGUUUGGGAUGCAAUUUUGAUAGUUUUAUUAGCUCUGCAAGGUGUUUUUUGCAAAGUAAAUUAUCUAUAUCCAAAAUUUAAUCCAUGAUAUUAGAAAGGUUCAAUUCUCAUAUACUUAUGCAAAAAGAAAGCUAACUUCACAUGUAAAAGAAAUACAUCAUAAAUUUGUAUCCUAUGACAAAAUAAUAUGAAGAAACAAUAUUAUGCACAAAUAACCUCGUGUUUGACUUCAUUUUUUUUAAAACGUUUUUAGAAGCUAACGAAUUUGAAUCUUAUCAAUAAGUGAAAGUUAUUUUUCUUUUUUGAUAAUUGUUAGUUCAAGAUAUAACUAUUUCCUAUGAAUUGUUAUAAAACAAAGGAUCAUUCUUCAUAUCAAAAGAAUUCGGCAUGAUGCUCUAUGACCCAAUUGGAUUGAAUUUUUAAACUAAAAAUAAUAAUAAUUUAUUAUACUCUAUAAGUUAAUUUUGUAGUGAUACUUUUAAAUAAUUACAAAUAUAGUUAUAUUUUACAUCUUAGCAUAUAUACCUUGAUAUUCACAUUUUUAGAUUGAAGGCACAAUUCUUAUACGCGUGUGUAUUGUGUAUAUGACAUUAAUAUACAUAUAUAGACAUUAUAAGUGCACGUAUACAAUAUAUCAAUUUAUAUACAUUGAUACCAUACAAUAUUGUAUAUGUUAUAUUUUGAAAGAAAACUUUGUUAUGUUUUGAAAAAAAACUGUUACUGAAAAAUUUUCUAUUAAAUUUCAUAGAUCGAAUUUUGGGUAUAUUAAUAUUUUGGGGUCAUGAAGCUAUAUUACUUUAAAAUAAUACAUUUUAUGUAAGCUAACUAUGAUUUUCGGUAAAGUUGAAAUAACAAAAAUGACACUGUAUAAAAUUAAGUGAAAGUUCAAUGAUUUUAUAGUUAAAUUAACGAUUUAACUACAAUUAUACAAAAUUUUAAUGAACUUUAUGAAAUUAAUACUAAAAAAUAUUCUUCACACAUUAUUUUUUCUUCGUUUAGUGAUAUAUCUAUAAUUGCCUUGUUUCCAAUUGUAAUUAUUUCGUAUAAAUUUUUCCUCACUUUUUCCCCCUUCAUUUUCCGUCUCUUAAUCUAGGGUUUAUACCUCUUCGGUCUUUUUAACUAUAUCAAUGUAUUAUUAAACAAGAAUUUUGUAACACCCCAGAAAAAACAUUUUCGAACUAAGACUCGAACCGUUCUUCGUACUGAGUGAUAUUUUACCAAGGACUUAAAAAUUUCUUUAAGUGUUAAGGUCACUAGAUGUAGCACCUUGAGUUCCAAAAAGAAUUAAAUUGGAAAUAGUAAAAUCUGAAAUUUUGCAAGUUAAGCUAAGUAUGAGUUUUGGGUCGACUUCAAACGACCAUAACUUCUAUCUCAAGAUGAGUUAGGUGUGAUACCAGAUACCGUAGGGAAGAUCUUUGAAUUAUCUUUCCAACGCCACCGAGUUUGCUCAGUUUUAAGUUCGUAUGAGGGAGAUAUGUCCAUUCGAAGUUGGGUUGUCUAGAUAAGGAAAGUCAAAAACCGGAUUUUAGAGGCGUAUUUUGGUCUUUUCCUUACCAAAUUAGAUUUAAUUCGUUUUUAGUAAUAUUUUAGGGUUCUAAUAUGAUUAGGUUCAGUUUUAUAAUCCUAGUUUACGCCUAGGGUUUUAGUUGAGAGUUCAAGAACAGAAAAGAAGAGAGAAGAGGAGAAAAGAGAAAGGAUCGAAGCGUUCGUCGAAAUUCUUGAGAGUUGUUGCNNNNNNNNNNNNNNNNNNNNNUUGAGAUGAAAGUGAUUGUUUUGAGUGGAUUAGUGUGUACUUAGGUUGGGUAAUUGAAUCUAAGGAAAAUUUGAGAAAAGAAAGAGAUUAAAAGUGAUUUAGGAUCAGAAAACGAAAGGCAAAAUUCGUCGAACUUGGCCUGGGGAGAGGCUGGGGCGGCGCGCCCCAGAUGCGCCCAAGGGGCUGGGGCGGAGCCCCUGCAGUGCGCCCAUAUGCAGUCUCUGGAGUUAGGGGCUGACGCCCCGCGCCCGAAACGCGCCAGGGUCGCCUGCCCCCACUCUUUUUCCGUCGGUUGUCCCGUUUGAGUCCCUUUUAAGUGUACCUUCACUCCCUUUGAUUCUAAUUACUUUAAAAUACUUCCAAACACCUACAAAUCAUUCAUAACAUGAUCAUAACCUUGAAUUCAUAAUUCAAAUUUAAGGUAAAGUUAAGAGUUGAGUCUUGAGAGUUCUUCUGAUCAUUUUGAGAGAGUCCAUUUGUGUCAUUCUGAGGAGUCUUCGACAAUUUCUAAUAAUUUGUUUCAAGACUCAAGUAAGUGAGAAUGAGAGUGAGGAGAAUGUAUUCAUGAGUCUACACUAUCACCUAGAUUCUUCAUAUCAUGAACCAUGACUCUUGAAUUCAUAAUUCACAUUCAAGAGAGAGUUAAGAGUAGAGUCCAAGAAAGUCUUUGAGUUCGAGUGUGAAUCCUUUGAGAUCAACUAUCAAUUCGAACUAAGUUUGAGUAAGUAAGUAUGAGAUUGAGAAGAGUCAUUUACAUGAGUUCCAUAUUGUUAUGUAGGCCUUCGAGUCGAGUUGUUCAUGCCCAUAAAUUCAGCAUGAACUUUAUAAGUUGAGUAUCUUUGAAAGGAGUAGUAUCUUCAAGUUCUAAGUCUUGAGUAUUGAGUUCCUAAUCCCCUUUGGGUUUAUCUUCCUAGUCAUGGGACUAUUACAGGUUACUUAUGAAGUCUUUGAGUUGAGUAGUUUGUGCCCAUAAAUCCGUAUGAACCCUAUAAGUCGAACAAUCUUGAGAUGAGAAGUAUCUCUGAGUCCUUGAGUUGAGUAGUUCAUGCUCAUAAUUCUGCAUGAACCCUCUGAGUUGAGUAUUCUUGAAAUGAGUAGUAUCAUUGAAGUUCUUGAGUUCUAAGUAUUGAGUUUGAUCUAUGGUUAUUGCAAAUCUUGCAUUAAGUCGUUCACGUCCAUAAUCCGGCAUGAACCAUAAUUUAAGAAGUCUUUUACAAAUAUUUUAACUUUGUUUUAAGACUUAAUCUUUGAAGUUGAGUAAAGAGUAAGAUUAAGUUCAUUUUCUUUAAAUGAUAUAUGGGAACUAAGUGUUCCCAAAUGUUUUCACAUUUAAGAUGAGAGGAAACUGAGAUUUCCAAAAGAGUUUUGAGCAAGAAAGGGAACAUCGAUUCCAAGAGANNNNNNNNNNNNNNNNNNNNNNNNNNNNNNNNNNNNNNNNNNNNNNNNNNNNNNNNNNNNNNNNNNNNNNNNNNNNNNNNNNNNNNNNNNNNNNNNNNNNNNNNNNNNNNNNNNNNNNNNNNNNNNNNNNNNNNNNNNNNNNNNNNNNNNNNNNNNNNNNNNNNNNNNNNNNNNNNNNNNNNNNNNNNNNNNNNNNNNNNNNNNNNNNNNNNNNNNNNNNNNNNNNNNNNNNNNNNNNNNNNNNNNNNNNNNNNNNNNNNNNNNNNNNNNNNNNNNNNNNNNNNNNNNNNNNNNNNNNNNNNNNNNNNNNNNNNNNNNNNNNNNNNNNNNNNNNNNNNNNNNNNNNNNNNNNNNNNNNNNNNNNNNNNNNNNNNNNNNNNNNNNNNNNNNNNNNNNNNNNNNNNNNNNNNNNNNNNNNNNNNNNNNNNNNNNNNNNNNNNNNNNNNNNNNNNNNNNNNNNNNNNNNNNNUUGAGUAAGUUGAGUAGUUUUGAGUAUCCUUGAGUAUUCCUUGAGUUGAGUAAGUUUGAAAAGAGGCAAGUAUGUUUCCAUAUUUAUCAAGUUCAAGCUUAUGUUAUGCUUUAGAAUUCCCCUUACAUGCUCGUACAUUUCACGUACUGACCCAUUUGGCCUGCAUCUUCUCAUGAUACAGACACAGGUAUUCAGGAUCAUCAAUAUGAGCUUCUUUGAUACAUCCGAGAGUUCAAGUUAGCUAUGGUGAGCCUCCUUGCUUCCGAAGGAUUUCAUUUACCUUUCAGUUAUAUCAAUUGUUAGGAUGUCGUGGGUCUUGUCCAGACUUCCAUCCUUAUUAGUUAGAGGCUUCAUAGAUAGUCAGUAUAGUUGAGAAAUAUGUAUCAUUUAUUUUAUUAAAUGUUUUAAAGACUUAAGUUGCCUAUUUUAUGGGGAGUGGAAUUAUUUAUUUUAUUCAGUGUUUUCUUUUGAGUUAAAGCUUUGUAUUUAAGUUUCCUAAUUUUUUAUUAGUUUUUAAGCUUUGUAUGCUUGAGUUAGUCUUCCGCUUGAAGUCAGCCAGGAUGAGGGUUCGCUUGGGGACCAGAAAUGGUUCUCGAGUGUCGGCCACGUCUAGGGUGUAAGCUCGGGUCGUGACAAAUUUAUAGCUUACAUUCACAUUUCACUUUCAUCAUCAUAAUUAAAUUUAAUAAUUUUGUGAAUUUUUUAUAUGUUCGUCAAGAAUGAAAUUCGCUAGAGCACAUAUCUCGCACAUCCUUGAUUCAAAUCAAGUCCACAAAAUGGAUUACAUUUAUGCUUUAUUUCUUCCUCCUGCAAAUAUCAUUGAUCUUCAGAUUAUCUCCUAUCAAUUGACAUGUAUCAAAAAUUACUUUAUGAAAUUUAGAUCUAUAAUAAUUGUCUUGUUCAAUUAAAAUAUUUUUGGGUCAUAAUUCAUGUAAAAAUAUAUUUCUUUCAAAAAUUAUGUGAAAUCACUUAGAAAAAGGGCUUAGUGCGAUUAAUCCUUUUUGGACAAUGAAUUGUAUUGCUUAAAGUCUUUUAUGGGGAUAACAUAUACCUUAAAUGUACAUGUUAUUUAAAAAGAUCUACUCGAAAGAUUUGAUAAUGUAGAUAGUUUUUUAAUAUUCAAUUUACAUAAAAAAAAAAAACAUACCUAUAUUAGCACUAUACUAUAAAUUUGAUAUAUCAUAAAAGAAGUUAAAUACAAUAAAAUUAAUAAGCAUGAUAGAAAAAAUUCAACGAAGACUUGUCACAAUCAAAUGCUUCCCUAUUGAGGGUCAAUAUGCUAUGUUUUUACCAGAAAGAAUGCAAUAAAAGUAUUUGAAUCCAGAUUAAAUGUCCUUCACAUUUCACAAGUAACUUGAGAGGAAGUAUUGAAAAUCAAAGAAUUCAAGAAGUCUUGCAAUAAGAUUUGUUUAAUUCAUACUGGAUUCAGGAGGAAAGAAAUACUUUGUUGCAACUAGAGAAGUGGUUGACACUACACGAAUAGGUUCUAAGACAAAGGUCCGAAGUCACAUGGAUUACAAACGGAAAUACUAGUACAAAGUUUUUCUUUGCCUACCUAAAAGUUAGAUAGGCUAGAAACAAGAUCUCCUCCAUUUGUAUGGAACAUGGUGAAAGACUGACUGAUGCAAACGAAUACAAUAGGAAUUUGUGAGUUUCUUUCAAGCCUUAUAUGGGACUAAUGCCAAAGAGUUGCCAUGUUUGGACUUUAAUAUAACGAAGGAUGUCCCUUGCUUGAAUAUACACCAACAACAACUUUUGGUAAAUGAGGUAAACACGGAAGAGAUCCUACUAGCAGUGAAUGAGAUUCCAAAUGAAAAAGCUUCAAGUACUGAUGGGUUCAGUGUAGAGUUUUUAAAAUAAUACUGAGAGCUGAUAGGAGACGAGAUCAUUCAAGUGGUUCUCCAAUUCUUUGAAAUAGGAAAACUGCUAAAAGAGGUUAAUUAUAUUAUUGUGACUCUGAUCCCUAAAUGUCCAACCCCAGCUUUGUCAAAGAGUACAGGUCAAUUGUUUGUUGUUACACGAUGUAUAAACUAUUAGCCAUAAUAAUCACCUCAAGAUUGAAGUUGGUUAUCGAUUACUUGGUAGGUCUAUCUCACUCUGCCUUUAGAGAUGGUAAUAAUAUACUACUAGACAAUGUGAUUGUGGCACAUGAGCUAGUCAAAGGCUACACAAAAAAGGAGUGUCUGAUCAAAGUAAACAUCAGAAAGGCCUAUGAUUCUGUAGAGUGAGCCUAGUACUGCUGGAACUUGGACUCUCGUCUAGGUUUGUGAAUCUAAUCAUGACAUGCGUGCCUACAAUAAGUUAUUCUUUAUUUAUUAAUAGAGGCCCAACCCCACGCUUUGAAGCUAAGAAAGGAUUGAGGCAAUGGGAUCUCAUGUCCCCAUACCUCUUUGUAUUGAUAGUGGAAUACCUAAACAGAACAUUCAAGUAGUUGAGACAUAAUCCCUCAUUCAAGUACCAUCCUAGAUGUGAGAAGCUGAGAGUGAUACAUAAAUGCUUCUCACAACGACCUGAUUAUGUGUUUCAGGGCUCACAUAUUAUCAAUUCAUUAAUAUUGCAAGCAUUUAAUCAUUUCUCAAAGCUUUCAGGGCUAAAGAUUAAUUUGGAUAAAAGCGCACUAUACAUUCCUGGUACUACACAUGAAUUCAAAUAAUAGAUAUUAAGAGAUAUCUCAUUCGCCGUAGGAAGAUCACAGUACAUCAAUACAUGCCACUAGUAAAUAAAAUGAUUGCGAUCGAGAAUUAGAUGUUGGACUACUAAGUUCUUAUCAUACAAUGACAGAGUUCAACUUAUCAAGAGUAUCCUAUUUGAAAUACAAACAUAUCGGAGACAAAUAUUUCUAAUGCCUAAGAAGGUCAUAGAACUGGCCACUAUUAUCCGUUGGACCUUCAUUUGGACAAACAAUACCGAAACAUCGAGAAGAAUUCAGGUUCCUUGGGAUACACUAUGUAAAGCCAAAAUUGUAGGAGGCUUGAAUAUGAUUGAUUUUCAAGCGUGGAACAAGGAAACUAUUAACAAGCUUCUAUGGGGUUGUAUCCUUAAAAAAACGCUUUUUUGGAUUCAUUGACCACAUGAUUUCUACCUAAAGAGACAAGAUUUAACCAUAAUGGAGACUCCAAAGCAGGCCUGCUAACUGGUGAGGAAGAUCUUCAAUGCUAGAACAUGGUUUAACUAGCACAUAGUGCUCACAAACCAGCAAAAACUCUCUAGAAAAGGAAAGUACAACAUUAAAGAAACUUACAAGUUCUUUCGCCAUAAUUUUCAAAAAGUGAAUUGAAAAAACCAAUGAUCCAAAGAACAAUUUCAUUCUUUGGCUAAUACUUCAAGGAAGAUUAGCUACGGUGGACAUAUUAGACAUACUAGAGAGAUAUGAAAUACAAACACCACAAGAGUGUUUGUUGUGUAACACAUUAGAAGUAGAAUCUCUCACACAUCUAUUUUUUUUUUAUGUAAGUAUGCAACAAAGUUGUGGAGGAUGUUGCUAGACUGACUGGGAAUGCAAUGAAAAAUUCUAAUUUAGGAAGUUGAGAUACAAUGGUUGAUGUACAUGGUGAAACAAAGGAAAUUAGAAUCACAGGUGCUAGGCUGGUUGUUCAAUGUUUGAAUUUACCAUGUCUGGAUUGAGCGGACUACUAAAAGAUUUCAACAACACCAACAUGAUACAAGCAUAGAGCCAGAGAAAUCAUCCUCCAACUUCACACAAAAGGACAACACCAAAUUAAAUGGGGGAAACUGUUUCAAAGAUUAGACAAUUUUCCUAGCUAGAAGUGUAGAGUUAUAUAGUAGAAAACUAAUAAAAUAGCUAGCUUGAUGAGAUUUGUAAAGAAGUGAGAAAUUAACUAAAGUCUAAAUAGCUAAUUGGCGUACAAAUUCUUAUUGGUUGAAUAAAAGCUAAGCUUUCGACCAAAAAAAUAAAAAAAAAAUAUUAAGAUUAUUUCAUUUGUCUAUAUAUAAGUAUUUAAAUCUAGAUUAAGUGUUUCUUUUUGAAUCACAUCAAAUUGUACGUUUUCAUAAUAUUCAUUUUUUAAAAAAUAAUAAUUUACUAUACUCCAUAAUUAUAUUUUGUAGUGAUAUUUUUAAACAAUUAUAAAUUAUAGCUACAUCUUACAUCUUAGUAUAUAUAUAUAUUCACGUUUCUAAAUUGAAGGCACAAUUCUUAUACGAGUUCUUAUACGGGUGCGUAUAUUGUAUAUAUGAAAUCAAUAUACAUAUAUAAACAUUAUAUGCGGACCCAUAUACAAUAUAUCAAUUUAUAUAUAUUGAUACUCUAUGUACGUACAUACAAUAUAGUAUAUGUUAUAUUUUAAAGGAAAAUUAUGCUAUGUUUUGAAAAUAAACUUGUUAUUAUUGAAAAUUUUCCUUUUAAAUUUUAUAGGUCGAAUUUUGGGUAUAUUAAUAUUUUGGGGUUAUGAUACUCUAUUACUUUAAAAUAAUAUAUAUUAAGUAAAUUAACUAUAAUUUUCGGUGAAGUUGAAAUAACAACAACGAUAUUGUAUUAAAUUAAGUGAAAGUCAAAUAAUUUUAUAGCUAGAUUAACAAUUUUACUACGAUUAUAUUAAAUUUUAAUGGCCUUUAUGAAAUUAACCAAAAAAUAUUUCUUCGCACAAAUUAUUUUUUUCUUCUUUAGUGAUAUGUCUAUAAUUGUCUUGUUUCUAAUUGUUAUUAUUUCAUAUAAUUUUUUCCUCAUUUUCCCCUCCCCCCUUCAUCUCCCGUCUCUUAAUCUAGGGUUUAUACCCUUUGGUCUUCUUAAUUAUAUCGAUGUCUUAGAGCUAUUAAACAAAAAAUUCUAGCUUACAUUCGAAUCUUACAUUUUCAUCACUAGUAUUAAAUUUUAUAAAUUUGUGAAGUUUUUCGAUGUUCAUCAAGAAUGAAAUCGGCUAGAGUACAAAUCUCGCACGUCCUUGAUUCAAAUCAAGUCCCCAAAAUGGAUUGCAUUUAUGUGUUGUUUCUACAUCCUGCAAAUAUCAUUGAUCUUCAGAUUAUUCCGUAUCAAUUGACAGGUAUCAAAAAUUACUUUAUAAACUUUAGAUAGUUUGUCUUGUUCAAUUAAAAUAAUUUUGGAUUAUAAUUCAUAUAAAAGUAAAUUUUAUUUCAAAAAUUAUGUGAAAUCACUUAGAAAAAGGGUUUAGUGCGAUUAUUUCUUUUUAACAACGAAUUAUAUAGCUUAAGAUCUUUUAGGGGGAUAACAUAUACCUCAAAUGUACAUGUUGUUUGAAAAAAUCUACUUGAAAGAUCUAAUAAUGUAGAUAGUUCCUGAAUAUUGAAUUUACAUAAAAAUAUAACUAUAUUGGCACUAUAUUGUAAAUUUGAUAUAUCAUGAAAGAAAUUAAAUAUAAUAAAAUUAAUUGUCAUGAGAGAAAGAAUCUAACUAAAGACUUGUCACAACCAAAUGCAUCACUACUCAAGAUCAACCUAAUGGUGUUUUUAUCAAAAGACUUAUCAGACUGCAAUAUAAACAUUUGAGUUCUGAUUAAGUGUGCUUCAGAUAUGUAUAUCAUAAUUAACCUGAGAGGAAUUACUAAAAAAAAAUAAAAAAUUAAGGUUAUUAUAUUUGUCUGUAUAUAAGUAUUUGAUUCCAAAUUAAGUGUUUUCUUUUUUGAAUCACAAUAUCUUCAUAAUUUUUGUUUUAAUUUUUUCCUUUAAGUAUUUGAUAGUGAAUUAAUUAUAAAUAUAGUGUUUUAACUAAGAAUUUGGUGAUCCUAAUAUUGUUUUUGUGCUUAAAAUCAUACUUGGAUUGUUAAACUAAUGUUUAUGUAAGUUUCUUUCAAUCUUAUAAUAUGAUUUAACAAAUUAAUUUAAUUUUUUUACAUAGUUUUAAUCAUUUCUCAUUUCAUAGUAAUAGAAUAAUAACUUACUAGCAAGACGAAUCUAGAAUUUGUAGAUUUUGGGUGUAUCAAUAUUACCUUAGCUCAAAUAUGAGCUCUAAGAUAAACUUAAAAUAAAAAUAGUGAAUUACCUUAACUCAAAUAUGAGCUCUAAGACAAAUUUAAAAUAAAAAUAGUGAAAUAAACAAUCUAGCUAGAUUCGAACUCAAGUCUCGCAUGUGGAUCCUCUAACAAUCUAGCUUGUACCAACAACACAAUGACACUCUUAUAUUUUUCAUGCGUGCACUGUUAAUUAUAUCUUAAUUUAUGUCAGUUUCUCAAAAUAAAUAUAUGCAUAUAAAAAGCUUAGAUCUAAUCUAAGACUGAAAAUUAACAUGAUAUUAAUUUAUUCUUCAAAUAUCAUGUUAGAUAUUAAUUAUUCUUAAAAUAUCAGUUUAGAUAUUAAUUAUUUUUAAAAUAUCAUGUUAAGAUAUUAAUUAUUUUUAAAAAAUUCAUUAAAUGUGAAGAUGAUUGUCUUUAACUGAGUGUUUAACAUUUUAUACUAGAAUAUGGAUAAGCAAAAUAAAGUAGAUAGUGGAGAUGCAAUAAUAGCCAUUCCCAUAUCGUGUAUUGCAGUUGAAGCUGAUGUUUUAGAGGUAAGCUUUUGAAGAUUUCCUCUUCAUUUGUCUUUUUAUGAUUAUAAGACAUUCAGAUUUAGACGUCUUAUAAUCAUAAAAAGACAAAUGAAGAGGAAAUUUUUAAAAGCUUACCUCUAAAACAUCUGCUUCAAGUGCAAUACACAAUAUGGGAACUGUCUUUAUUGCAUCUCCACCAUCUAUUUUGUUUUGCUUAUCCAUAUUCUAGUACUCCCUCCGUCCCCUUUUUAGUUGUCCACUUUUAGAAAUGGCACACAGAUUAAGGCAACAAUGAUUAGCACAGUGAAGUUACAAUUUUAUCCUUAUGACAACUUUUCACUUCAAAAUUACAACCACUUAUUUGAAUUCAAGUGAAAUAAAUUGGAGGGAAACAACAUACACUUUUACAAUUUUCAAGAAGUGUAAAUAAGGGUAUAAUAGGAAAAAAUUUUGUUGUCUUUUCUUGAUUUGUCAAAAUGGACAACUAAAUAGGGACAACUAAAAAAGGAAAUAUGGACAAGUAAAUAGGGACGGAGGGAGUAGAAAAUGUUAAAUACUUAGAGAAGCAUCUUCACAUUUAAAGAAAUUUUACAAAAUAUUUUAAAAAUAAUUAAUAUGUAAACUGAGACUGAAAAUACCAUAUGAUAUUCUAAAAUUUGACACAAUUUCCAAUCGGGUACCGACAUUAGCCGGUCAAUUCCCGGUCAACACUGAAACUGCAGAGAAAAAAAGUUUUUAAUUUUUCCUACUUAAACUACACAAAAAGCGGAAAAAGCCCUCUUUGUUUUCAAAAUUUUUAAAGUACUCUCUAGGAUAAGACCUAGUUCUCUCUCUGCCAUUUUUUCAGACUGAAUCACUCAAAAAUCUCUAUACAUAUACUCAGGUGAAGUUAAAUUUUGCAUUUUUAUAGUUAUUUUUUGUGUAAUUUAUUUGAAUGCAGUCUUUUUAAGUUGAUUAAUUUGGUCAAGUUAUGUUUUUUAUGUUGAAAUGUUGCAGUUCUUUUAUGAUUUUUGAGUUGUUUGGAUUAAUGGGUUUGUUUAGUAUGAAUAUGGUGUAAUGCUUGUUAUUUUGUUGCAUGAUUGAGGAAUUGGAAUGUGUUUUGAUGGACCAUGUUGGGAUUUUUUUUGUGGGAUUUUAGUUCUCUUUGAUGUAGCGAUUUAGGAAUUAGGGUUUUUUGAUUGGUUUAUUGAGGAGGUAGAAAUGGUUGAUGAUGUAGAAAUGUAUGUCUUUUCUUGAUAUGUUUUUUUUUUUUUACUUUCUUGGCUAUUGACAGUGUUAAAUGUUGCAGUUCUUUUAUGGUUUUUGAGUUGUUUGGAUUAAGGGGUUUAUUUAGUAUGGAUAUGGUGGAAUGCUUGUUAUGUUGUUUCCUGAUUGAGGAAUUGGAUGUUUGAUGGAUCAUGUUGGGAUUUUUUUUGUGGGAUUUUAGUUCUCUUUGAUGUAGGGAUUUAGGAAUUAGGGUUUUUUGGUUUGUUGCAUGAUUGAGGAAUUGGAAUGUGUUUUGAUGGACCAUGUUGGGAUUUUUCUUUGUGGGAUUUUGUUUUUUUUUGAUGUAGAGGUUUAUGAAUUAGGGUUUUUUGAUUGGUUUAUUGAGGAGGUAGAAAUGGUUGAUGAUGUAAAAAUGUAUGUCUUUUCUUGACAUGUUUUUUUACUUUCUUUGCUAUUUGACAGUGUUUUGGUGAAAUGUUGCAGUUCUUUUAUGAUUUUUGAGUUGUUUGGAUUAAUGGGUUUGUUUAGUAUGAAUAUGGUGUAAUGCUUGUUAUUUUGUUGCAUGAUUGAGGAAUUGGAAUGUGUUUUGAUGGACCAUGUUGGGAUUUUUCUUUGUGGGAUUUUGUUUUUUUUUGAUGUAGAGGUUUAUGAAUUAGGGUUUUUUGAUUGGUUUAUUGAGGAGGUAGAAAUGGUUGAUGAUGUAGAAAUGUAUGUCUUUUCUUGACAUGUUUUUUUUUUUUUACUUUCUUGGCUAUUGACAGUGUUAAAUGUUGCAGUUCUUUUAUGGUUUUUGAGUUGUUUGGAUUAAGAGGUUUAUUUAGUAUGGAUAUGGUGGAAUGCUUGUUAUGUUGUUUCCUGAUUGAGGAAUUGGAUGUUUGAUGGAUCAUGUUGGGAUUUUUUUUGCGUGAUUUUAGUUUCCUUUUGAUGUAGGGAUUUAUGAAUUAGGGUUUUUUGAUUGGUUUAUUGAGGAGGUAGAAAUGGUUGAUGAUGUAAAAAUGUAUGUCUUUUCUUGACAUGUUUUUUUCCUUUCUUUGCUAUUGACAGUGUUUUGGUGAAAUGUUGCAGUUCUUUUAUGGUUUUUGAGUUGUUUGGAUUAAUGGGUUUGUUUAGUAUGGAUAUGGUAUAAUGCUUGUUAUUUUGUUGCAUGAUUGAGGAAUUGGAAUGUGUUCUGAUGGACCAUGUUGGGAUUUUUUUUUGCGUGAUUUUAGUUUCCUUUUUGAUGUAGGGAUUUAUGAAUUAGGGUUUUUUGAUUUGUUUAUUGAGGAGGCAGAAAUGGUUGAUGAUGUAAAAAUGCACGUCUUUUCUUGACAUGGUUUUUAGUUUCUUUGCUAUUUACAAUGUUUCGUUGAUAAUCUGUUUUGAAAUUUUACCUUUUUGGAUAGAGGUUAAUUUAGUGUUGGAGUAGUGAAAUGGAUUAUGUUUUGUUGAUUGAUAGAGAAAUUUGAAGCAUCUUAUGGUGCAAAAUGGGUUUUUUGUAGUGGAAACUUACUUUUUUUGCUAUAAAGAUUUUGGAAUUAGGGUUUUAGUUGAUUGGCCAAGGAGGCAGAAAUGGUUGGUGAAGACAAAGGAAAGAGCGCUGGUGCUAAUGUUGCACCAGGUUUGUUGGCUGAAAAUGGUCAAACAGUAAAGAAAUUGAAGGGCCACCUAGUUGAAGACAAGGAUGGUGAUAUGAACCUUGAUGGUUCAUCUGAUGUUGUUUGUCGGACCUACAAGAGGCGGAAGCGUACAAAAGUGGUAGAAGAUGGCUUUGUGGUGGGGCACUCUGCUGGUCAGAGCACUAACAAG
RNAcentral lists this long non-coding RNA (23637 nucleotides) under Solanum tuberosum (potato). RNAcentral describes it as "long non-coding RNA (STUB_LNC005015)". The record is from RNAcentral. Lineage: Eukaryota; Viridiplantae; Streptophyta; Magnoliopsida; Solanales; Solanaceae.